This 478-nucleotide ribosomal RNA is filed under the name uncultured bacterium. Its description in RNAcentral is "partial 16S ribosomal RNA". It matches the Rfam family "Bacterial small subunit ribosomal RNA", at positions 28 to 523 of the family's 1533-position model. The record is from RNAcentral.
GACGAACGCUGGCGGCGUGCUUAACACAUGCAAGCCGAACGGUAAGGCCCUUCGGGGUACACGAGUGGCGAACGGGUGAGUAACACGUGGGUGAUCUGCCCUGCACUUCGGGAUAAGCCUGGGACACUGGGUCUAAUACCGGAUAGGACCACUGCCUGCAUGGGUGGGGGUGGAAAGCUUUUGCGGUGUGGGAUGGGCCCCCGGCCUAUCAGCUUGUGGGUGUGGUGAUGGUCUGCCAAGGAGACGACGGGUAGCCGGCCUGAGAGGGUGACCGGCGACACUGGGACUGAGAUACGGCCCAGACUCCUACGGGAGGCAGCAGUGGGGAAUAUUGCACAAUGGGCGCAAGCCUGAUGCAGCGACGCCGCGUGAGGGAUGACGGCCUUCGGGUUGUAAACCUCUUUCAGCACCGACGAAGCGCAAGUGACGGUAGGUGCAGAAGAAGGACCGGCCAACUACGUGCCAGCAGCCGCCGUAA